UACGGGGGGUGCAAGCGUUGUCCGGAAUCACUGGGCGUAAAGGGCGCGUAGGUGGCGUCGUAAGUCUGUGGUGAAAGCCCGGAGCUCAACUCCGGAACUGCCAUUGAAACUGUGAGACUUGAGGAUGAGAGAGGUGAGUGGAAUUCCCAGUGUAGAGGUGAAAUUCGUAGAUAUUGGGAAGAACACCGGUGGCGAAGGCGGCUCACUGGCUCAUUUCUGACGCUCAGGCGCGACAGCGUGGGGAUCAAACAGG
Molecule: ribosomal RNA, 253 nt
Filed under: uncultured bacterium
Lineage: Bacteria
Description: partial 16S ribosomal RNA
Rfam family: Bacterial small subunit ribosomal RNA
Source: RNAcentral